CCGGCUAUAGCUCGGCUGGCAGCGCGGAGGACUGUAGUGUGUGCAGACAUUCUUAGGUCGGUGGUUCAAAUCCGCCUCGCCGGA
Molecule: transfer RNA, 84 nt
Filed under: Schistocephalus solidus
Lineage: Eukaryota; Metazoa; Platyhelminthes; Cestoda; Diphyllobothriidea; Diphyllobothriidae
Rfam family: tRNA
About the family: Transfer RNA (tRNA) molecules are approximately 80 nucleotides in length. Their secondary structure includes four short double-helical elements and three loops (D, anti-codon, and T loops).
Source: Rfam by way of RNAcentral